This 618-nucleotide long non-coding RNA is filed under the name Rosa chinensis. RNAcentral's name for it is "sRNA RchiOBHm_Chr5g0031971". Lineage: Eukaryota; Viridiplantae; Streptophyta; Magnoliopsida; Rosales; Rosaceae. The record is from RNAcentral.
CGACCCCCUCGACUCCCACCCCCUGGUUCAAGCCUGCGCUCUUCCUCUCCCCGGACUUCGACUCCGAGGCCUACAUCUCCGACCUCCGAACCUUCGUCCCCUUCAACACCCUCCGAUCUGAGCUCCAGUCCUAUCUCGCCUCCCUCAACCACGACCUCAUCAACCGCGACUACGCCGCUUCGUCAACCUCAGCACCAAGCUCGUCGACGUUGACUUUGCCGUGGUGCGCAUGCGGGCCCCGCUCCUGGAGCUCAGGGAAAAGAUCGAGCAGUUCAGAGGCUCCGUGCAGGGCUCGCUUGUGGCGCUGACCAAUGGAUUGAAGUAGAGAUCCGAGGUCGCCGAGGCUAGGGAGAUGGAGGCUGCUCGAAGCUGGUUUUGGGUUUGGACGCUGCUCGAAGAAAAGAGAGAUGGAGGCUGCUCUUGGUUGCCGAAAGAGAGGAAAAUAAGAAAACUAAAACUCAUAUCGGGUUCCAACGGGUAAUAACGGGUUUAGCCCGGCCCGGCCCGUUUAUUUGCGGGUUUUUGGCGUGCGGGCUUUUUUCAGCCCGGAUUAAUAAUUGGACGGGUUCGUGCGGGUUUUUACCGUGCGGGUUUCGGGCGGGUUUGCGGAUUACGGGC